This 371-nucleotide ribosomal RNA is filed under the name Lethe andersoni. RNAcentral's name for it is "partial 12S ribosomal RNA". Lineage: Eukaryota; Metazoa; Arthropoda; Insecta; Lepidoptera; Nymphalidae. The record is from RNAcentral.
UUAAACUAGGAUUAGAUACCCUAUUAUUAAAAAUUUAAUUAAUAAUUCUAAAAUAGUAGAUAAUAAAUAUUGAAACUUAAAUAAUAUGGCGGUAUUUUAGUUCAUUUAGAGGAAUCUGUUUAAUAAUUGAUAAUCCACGAAUAAAUUUACUUAAUUUAGGAUUUUAUAUAUCGUUGUUAAAAAAAUAUUUUAUAAUAAAAAUAAUAUUUAAAAAUUUUAAAAAUAAAUUAAUUCAGAUCAAGAUGUAGAUUAUAAUUAAGAAUAUAAUGGAUUACAAUAAAAUAAUUUAAAAUGGAUAAUUAAUUUUAAAAUUAAUUUAAAGGUGGAUUUAAAUGUAAUUUUAAUUAAUCUACUCAAAUCAUUUUGGGGGU